AACCUGCCCCAUAGUCUGGGAUACCACUUGGAAACAGGUGCUAAUACCGGAUAAGAAAGCAGAUCGCAUGAUCAGCUUUUAAAAGGCGGCGUAAGCUGUCGCUAUGGGAUGGCCCCGCGGUGCAUUAGCUAGUUGGUAAGGUAAAGGCUUACCAAGGCAAUGAUGCAUAGCCGAGUUGAGAGACUGAUCGGCCACAAUGGAACUGAGACACGGUCCAUACUCCUACGGGAGGCAGCAGAC
RNAcentral lists this ribosomal RNA (240 nucleotides) under uncultured Lactobacillus sp. RNAcentral describes it as "partial 16S ribosomal RNA". It matches the Rfam family "Bacterial small subunit ribosomal RNA", at positions 123 to 354 of the family's 1533-position model. The record is from RNAcentral. Lineage: Bacteria; Bacillati; Bacillota; Bacilli; Lactobacillales; Lactobacillaceae.